Molecule: ribosomal RNA, 433 nt
Filed under: uncultured bacterium
Lineage: Bacteria
Description: partial 16S ribosomal RNA
Rfam family: Bacterial small subunit ribosomal RNA
Source: RNAcentral
AACGAACGCUGGCGGCAUGCCUAACACAUGCAAGUCGAACGAGACCUUCGGGUCUAGUGGCGCACGUGUGCGUAACGCGUGGGAACCUGCCCUUAGGUUCGGAAUAACUCCCCGAAAGGGGUGCUAAUACCGGAUAAUGUCUUCGGACCAAAGAUUUAUCGCCUUUGGAUGGGCCCGCGUUGGAUUAGCUAGUUGGUAGGGUAAAAGCCUACCAAGGCGACGAUCCAUAGCUGGUCUGAGAGGAUGAUCAGCCACACUGAGACUGAGACACGGCCCAGACUCCUACGGGAGGCAGCAGUGGGGAAUAUUGGACAAUGGGCGAAAGCCUGAUCCAGCAAUGCCGCGUGAGUGAUGAAGGCCUUAGGGUUGUAAAGCUCUUUUACCCGGGAUGAUAAUGACAGUACCGGGAGAAUAAGCUCCGGCUAACUCCGUG